AGUGAACGCUGGCGGUAUGCCUAACACAUGCAAGUCGAACGGCAGCACAGUAAGAGCUUGCUCUUACGGGUGGCGAGUGGCGGACGGGUGAGGAAUACAUCGGAAUCUACUUUUUCGUGGGGGAUAACGUAGGGAAACUUACGCUAAUACCGCAUACGACCUACGGGUGAAAGCAGGGGAUCUUCGGACCUUGCGCGAUUGAAUGAGCCGAUGUCGGAUUAGCUAGUUGGCGGGGUAAAGGCCCACCAAGGCGACGAUCCGUAGCUGGUCUGAGAGGAUGAUCAGCCACACUGGAACUGAGACACGGUCCAGACUCCUACGGGAGGCAGCAGUGGGGAAUAUUGGGCAAUGGGCGCAAGCCUGAUCCAGCCAUACCGCGUGGGUGAAGAAGGCCUUCGGGUUGUAAAGCCCUUUUGUUGGGAAAGAAAAGCAGCAGAUUAAUACCCCGCUGUUCUGACGGUACCCAAAGAAUAAGCACCGGCUAACUUCGUG
Molecule: ribosomal RNA, 492 nt
Filed under: uncultured bacterium
Lineage: Bacteria
Description: partial 16S ribosomal RNA
Rfam family: Bacterial small subunit ribosomal RNA
Source: RNAcentral